This 1038-nucleotide long non-coding RNA is filed under the name Oryctolagus cuniculus (rabbit). RNAcentral describes it as "lncRNA (ENSOCUG00000031886.1)". Lineage: Eukaryota; Metazoa; Chordata; Mammalia; Lagomorpha; Leporidae. The record is from RNAcentral.
GAACGAGAGCUCUAUGCUGCCCGAGAUCAGGACGGGGGAGGGGGGUGGCUGGGAAGGACAGGAGGAGGAGGGCUAAGAUCUGCGGGGACGGGUUGGGGCGUGGUGGACCACAGGGCUGGCCGGGGUGGAUGUCCCCCACCCUGCGUCUGGGCCAGGCUCGAACCGUGCAGGGGUGGGAACCUGGACAGCGGCACAGACGUCAGGACAACAGUUACUGCCUCGCUGCUUGGACCCAGGAGACGACCGACACGCAGUCGUCCAGAGUGCGGGUGGAGGAGGCCGGGGACGUGUGCCCUGCUGACCGCUGGGCUGCUCAUUUGCGGGCAUGUGGGAUGUGUUCCUGAUGGUCCCGCCCCAGCCGGGCUCGGCAGACCUUCCGCCCCCGUUUCUAGCCCCCUGCCCAUUCGUUCAAGGAAGAGAAGAGACCCCCGCCUUGCCCCUGCUCCCUCCGCCCCAGCUUCUGGGGACCUGGCACAUGCUCCACCCCGGACUCCACAGCCUGGCAGACAGGGCCAAGGGAGGGGCGGGGGAGCUAUUUUGGGUCUGGAAAAAGGGCUGUGGUGGGCAUGGGGGAUGGAUGAUGACAGGCUUUGCAGGGCUGGGCACCUCCUGCUGCCCGUCCCUGCCCACCCCACCCACCCCGCCGUGUGGUCAGCCCUGUCGGCUCUCAGCACAGACGGGGACCAGACCCAGUGGGAAGAGGGAGGUAGAGGGGGAGAGACCAAGAAAGAGGUGGGGGCAGAGAGCGAUGACGUCAGCCCAAGAGGUCCCCAAAGGGUGACAUGGCUGCAGAGAAGUGGCCAAGGUGACUAUGGCUGCUAUGGGAAGGGGGCAAUGAGCUUCCUGCUCCAGGCCAGGCUGUGCGGCUGCUGUCAUGGCGGAGCUCGGAAUCACUGUCCACGCUGCCUUCCUCUUGCACGUGGCUCCCGCCUGGGCUCUGUCCCAGCCUUCCAUGGCUGCAAGGCUGGACCAGGAGUCAGUGGAGGAGGAGUGGCUGGGGGUGGAGCUCUCCAGGGCGGGACCAGUGGAGGGGAGUGA